This 253-nucleotide ribosomal RNA is filed under the name uncultured bacterium. RNAcentral's name for it is "partial 16S ribosomal RNA". It matches the Rfam family "Bacterial small subunit ribosomal RNA", at positions 524 to 776 of the family's 1533-position model. The record is from RNAcentral.
UACAGAGGGUGCGAGCGUUAAUCGGAAUUACUGGGCGUAAAGGGUGCGUAGGUGGUUAAUUAAGUCAGAUGUGAAAUCCCUAGGCUUAACCUAGGAAUUGCAUUUGAAACUGGAUAACUAGAGUGCAGGAGAGGGAAGUGGAAUUUCCGGUGUAGCGGUGAAAUGCGUAGAUAUCGGAAGGAACACCAGUGGCGAAGGCGACUUCCUGGCCUGUUACUGACACUGAGGCACGAAAGCGUGGGGAGCGAACAGG